UACGAAGGGGGCUAGCGUUGUUCGGAAUUCCUGGGCGUAAAGCGCGUGUAGGCGGGGCUUUAAGGCAGAGGUGAAAUGCCAAGGCUCAACCUUGGAACUGCCUUUGAUACUGGAGAUCUUGAGUCCGGGAGAGGUGAGUGGAAUUGCGAGUGUAGAGGUGAAAUUCGUAGAUAUUCGCAAGAACACCAGUGGCGAAGGCGGCUCACUGGCCCGGAACUGACGCUGAGACGCGAAAGCGUGGGGAGCAAACAGG
Molecule: ribosomal RNA, 253 nt
Filed under: uncultured bacterium
Lineage: Bacteria
Description: partial 16S ribosomal RNA
Rfam family: Bacterial small subunit ribosomal RNA
Source: RNAcentral